Molecule: long non-coding RNA, 246 nt
Filed under: Pelobates cultripes (western spadefoot toad)
Lineage: Eukaryota; Metazoa; Chordata; Amphibia; Anura; Pelobatidae
Source: RNAcentral
UACAUAUCUUAGUAUCAUCAGCAAAAAGACAUACCUUACCAUCAAGACCUUCUGCAAUAUCACUAAUAAAAAUAUUAAAGAGAAUGGGUCCAAGUACAGAUCCCUGAGGAACCCCACUGGUGACAAGUCCAAGCUUCGAAUAUAUUCCAUUAACUACAACCCUCUGUUGCCUGUUACUCAGCCACUGCCUUACCCAUUCAACAAUAUUUGAAUCCAAACUUAAAGAUUGCAGUUUAUUGAUAAGCC